Molecule: ribosomal RNA, 260 nt
Filed under: uncultured bacterium
Lineage: Bacteria
Description: partial 16S ribosomal RNA
Rfam family: Bacterial small subunit ribosomal RNA
Source: RNAcentral
GUGGCGGACGGGUGAGUAACGCGUGGGUAACCUGCCUUGUACUGGGGGACAACAGUUGGAAACGACUGCUAAUACCGCAUAAGCGCACAGCUUCGCAUGAAGCAGUGUGAAAAACUCCGGUGGUACAAGAUGGACCCGCGUCUGAUUAGCUGGUUGGCGAGGUAACGGCCCACCAAGGCAACGAUCAGUAGCCGGCCUGAGAGGGUGAACGGCCACAUUGGGACUGAGACACGGCCCAAACUCCUACGGGAGGCAGCAUG